This 505-nucleotide ribosomal RNA is filed under the name uncultured bacterium. RNAcentral describes it as "partial 16S ribosomal RNA". It matches the Rfam family "Bacterial small subunit ribosomal RNA", at positions 28 to 507 of the family's 1533-position model. The record is from RNAcentral.
GACGAACGCUGGCGGCGUGCCUAAUACAUGCAAGUAGAACGCACAGUUUAUACCGUAGCUUGCUACACCAUAGACUGUGAGUUGCGAACGGGUGAGUAACGCGUAGGUAACCUGCCUGGUAGCGGGGGAUAACUAUUGGAAACGAUAGCUAAUACCGCAUAAUAUUGAUUAUUGCAUGAUAAUUGAUUGAAAGAUGCUAUUGCAUCACUACCAGAUGGACCUGCGUUGUAUUAGCUAGUAGGUGAGGUAACGGCUCACCUAGGCGACGAUACAUAGCCGACCUGGGAGGGUGAUCGGCCACACUGGGACUGGGACACGGCCCAGACUCCUACGGGAGGCAGCAGUAGGGAAUCUUCGGCAAUGGACGAAAGUCUGACCGAGCAACGCCGCGUGAGUGAAGAAGGUUUUCGGAUCGUAAAGCUCUGUUGUAAGAGAAGAACGGGUGUGAGAGUGGAAAGUUCACACUGUGACGGUAUCUUACCAGAAAGGGACGGCUAACUACGUG